This 503-nucleotide ribosomal RNA is filed under the name uncultured bacterium. RNAcentral's name for it is "partial 16S ribosomal RNA". It matches the Rfam family "Bacterial small subunit ribosomal RNA", at positions 30 to 523 of the family's 1533-position model. The record is from RNAcentral.
AUUGAACGCUGGCGGCAGGCUCAACACAUGCAAGUCGAGCGGGGUGAUGGUGCUUGCACUAUCACUUAGCGGCGGACGGGUGAGUAAUGCUUAGGAAUCUGCCUAUUAGUGGGGGACAACAUCUCGAAAGGGAUGCUAAUACCGCAUACGUCCUACGGGAGAAAGCAGGGGAUCACUUGUGACCUUGCGCUAAUAGAUGAGACUAAGUCGGAUUAGCUAGUUGGUGGGGUAAAGGCCUACCAAGGCGACGAUCUGUAGCGGGUCUGAGAGGAUGAUCCGCCACACUGGGACUGAGACACGGCCCAGACUCCUACGGGAGGCAGCAGUGGGGAAUAUUGGACAAUGGGGGGAACCCUGAUCCAGCCAUGCCGCGUGUGUGAAGAAGGCCUUAUGGUUGUAAAGCACUUUAAGCGAGGAGGAGGCUCUUUUGGUUAAUACCCAAGAUGAGUGGACGUUACUCGCAGAAUAAGCACCGGCUAACUCUGUGCCAGCAGCCGCAGUAA